GCCCUGGUGGUCAAGUGGUUAAGAUUUGGCGCUCUCACCACCGUGGCCCGGGGUUCAUUUCCCUGCCAGGGCA
Molecule: non-coding RNA, 73 nt
Organism: Equus caballus (horse)
Lineage: Eukaryota; Metazoa; Chordata; Mammalia; Perissodactyla; Equidae
Source: Rfam